Molecule: long non-coding RNA, 295 nt
Filed under: Sorghum bicolor (sorghum)
Lineage: Eukaryota; Viridiplantae; Streptophyta; Magnoliopsida; Poales; Poaceae
Description: long non-coding RNA (SBIC_LNC016819)
Source: RNAcentral
GGGCCAACGGAGGCGCCUUGAAGGAGCGCGGCAGACAUGAGCAGGGCGAAGCGGUUCCUCUCCUGGUCCCGUGAGGCGGGCAGGGAGAUGAGGUAGGCGAUGGCGGCCAGGCAUCCGACGGUCGUGAGGGUGCCUCCGACGUUGAGGAGGAUGUGGAGGUAGGCGCCGAGCGCAGAGAAGACCAGCGCGGAGCAUAGGGUGAGGUAAACCUGCCGUCGGAACGGGAUCAGUCAAAGCAAAGGGUAAGAAGAGAAUCGGGAUGCGAAUGCGGGGGAAAAGGAGACAAGGGACUUGC